Molecule: long non-coding RNA, 726 nt
Organism: Crotalus tigris (Tiger rattlesnake)
Lineage: Eukaryota; Metazoa; Chordata; Lepidosauria; Squamata; Viperidae
Exons: 3
Source: RefSeq, a predicted model, not a curated record
AAAAAAAAACAAGAAAGUCCAGUUGCCUCUUGAAAAAAAGCACCUUUGGAACAAAGACUUCCUCCUCUCCUUCAAGGAACCUGCGCACCGAUGUCUCUUCUCCUAUGAGGGGAAACUUACCCCACUGACUAGUUGGUUUUAACAGAGAUCGAAGAACUGGUUUCGCUAACCUGGGGACUAACAAUCAAAUGGCAAACAUCACAACCACGUGGAAAGAGAAGCUUUCUAAUCAAUUCCAUUAAGGCCAUAUCCUGUUCACACAAAGAUUCCCACACUCAUUCUCAAGGUUAAGAAUCAGAUGAUUGAUGGGCAGCAGCAGGGAGGUAAUAUACCUAUGGACAAUAGGCUGGGACAAACGGACCUCUGGAAGUGAUUAAUGCCGAUCAUUUAAUGCAUUGAUGAAGGAGGAAAGGAUCCCAUCUCUUGGUCAAACUGGAAACCAAGCACUUCUUCAAAUCUGAAUACAGGUCAUCUCAACAUCUGUUUUUGUUCAUUUAUGCAUGCAAUUCUUCAAUACUUAAGGUGUUUCCCCAUGUUUUCAUCCUCGUGCAAUAUUCAUUUUUGUCUUCCAAUUUUAUAUACCUAUCAAAUAUACCCUUAAAUAUUUCAGAAAUCAAACAAUCUCUUGAUUAGAAAAAGCAAAUAUCACUGAAAACUAGUUGAUUUCUGAAUUGAACUGCAAGCUAUUUGUCUUCUUGACACAGAUUAAAAGACUUUCUUUCAGAA